UGUGAAACCAAACAAUCCAAAAUCGAGUGUGAAACAACUCAAAAUUAAGUAGUUUACUAACACUGUCUUUUUGGAUUGUUUUUUUAUUUACAUUGAUGGGUGAUUUUAACUUAAUUUGGGGGUUAUCUCCAAUAAGUCACCUUCGCGUUGUUGCUUUCCAUUAAAGUACCCAAACCGAUGUGUUGUCUAUUAACUUCAGUUUGGCUGAAAAAAUACUUUGUAAGUCAGCAUGUUCCAGGGGCUGCUAUUGAAAAUAUUUAUUAUUUAUGGAAUUAAAUAUGGAGCCUUCAGAAAAAUCAACCAAGUUCACGGCGGACAUUCGUCACCAAAAACUUUAUGCGAGCGCAACUGAGAAGCAACAUUGGCAAAUCGGCAAAUAUUAUAUUUUCUUUCUACGAGGUACAACCAUCUUCCGUUUGGAUUAUUCGGAAAUGUUCAUAUAGGACCGAUACAAAACCAUUGAGACUGUGCCACUGUGAAAUGGGCGUUGGCGAGGGCGUUGAUGGCGUGAGGGACCGGAUCCAGUAUAUUUGUGGCAGCAAUAUUCUAUACACGGUUUGGCAAGAUCUGGUUUCUAACUAAGGUGUAAAUGUAUGUAAUCGAAAUAAAAUAAUUAUGUCUUUGCAUCUAUCACAUGAAUCACAUUUAAUGAAGAAAAAUACAUAAUUUAAUAAAAUUUUGUGGGAAAAUUGAUUCUUGAUUUUGAGUACUUUUCAUCCAAACCGAAGUCUUUUUAGAACAGUAAUUUUCACUCAAAGCUAGGUCUUCGAAAACUACUUAAAAUUAA
This is a long non-coding RNA of Armigeres subalbatus, 787 nucleotides long. RefSeq lists it as uncharacterized. The transcript is spliced from 3 exons. The record is from RefSeq and is a predicted model, not a curated record. NCBI's taxonomy places the organism in Eukaryota, Metazoa, Arthropoda, Insecta, Diptera, Culicidae.